Molecule: ribosomal RNA, 78 nt
Filed under: Bacillus subtilis subsp. natto
Lineage: Bacteria; Bacillati; Bacillota; Bacilli; Caryophanales; Bacillaceae
Source: RNAcentral
CAUACCGAACACGGAAGUUAAGCUCUUCAGCGCCGAUGGUAGUCGGGGGUUUCCCCCUGUGAGAGUAGGACGCCGCCA